GGAGUUUAGAGGGUGUGUGUGUGUGUGUGUGUGUGUGUGUGUGUGUGCGCGCGCGCAUCCACACUCA
Molecule: microRNA precursor, 67 nt
Filed under: Pelodiscus sinensis (Chinese soft-shelled turtle)
Lineage: Eukaryota; Metazoa; Chordata; Testudines; Trionychidae
Description: miRNA (ENSPSIG00000019389.1)
Source: RNAcentral